Molecule: non-coding RNA, 24 nt
Filed under: Arabidopsis thaliana (thale cress)
Lineage: Eukaryota; Viridiplantae; Streptophyta; Magnoliopsida; Brassicales; Brassicaceae
Source: RNAcentral
CAUUUUGUGUACUACAAGUUGUGG